This 290-nucleotide ribosomal RNA is filed under the name uncultured Bacteroidota bacterium. RNAcentral's name for it is "uncultured Bacteroidetes bacterium partial 16S ribosomal RNA". The record is from RNAcentral. Lineage: Bacteria; Pseudomonadati; Bacteroidota.
CUACUAGGGUAUCUAAUCCUGUUUGCUACCCACGCUUUCGUGCACUCAGCGUCAGUAAAGAUUUAGCAACCUGCCUUCGCUAUCGGUGUUCUGUAUGAUAUCUAUGCAUUUCACCGCUACACCAUACAUUCCAGAUGCUCCAAUCUUACUCAAGUUUACCAGUAUCAAUAGCAAUUUUACAGUUAAGCUGUAAGCUUUCACUACUGACUUAAUAAACAGCCUACACACCCUUUAAACCCAAUAAAUCCGAAUAACGCUUGUGUCAUCCGUAUUACCGCGGCUGCUGGCAC